UUACAAGGGGUUUUGUCUUACAAAACUUUGUGUAAGAAGAUUGGCUUCUCAUUUGUGUUCAAUUCACGCCUUCGUGAUCUCUUUGGGAGCUCUAAUUCCAACUAUGAAUAACAAUUUUUAAGAUUCCUCCAUGCAUCAAACCUAAGAUGUGUAGGGAACAAUACCUGUCCUAAUAACAGGAAUUGUGGAAACAAAUCAGUACCAAAAAAAAACCUAACAAAAACAAAGAGCUAAUCACUCAACACAAGAUAUUAUAUCUAUUGAAUAUU
Molecule: long non-coding RNA, 269 nt
Organism: Medicago truncatula (barrel medic)
Lineage: Eukaryota; Viridiplantae; Streptophyta; Magnoliopsida; Fabales; Fabaceae
Exons: 2
Source: RefSeq, a predicted model, not a curated record